Molecule: long non-coding RNA, 3587 nt
Filed under: Capsicum annuum
Lineage: Eukaryota; Viridiplantae; Streptophyta; Magnoliopsida; Solanales; Solanaceae
Description: long non-coding RNA (CANN_LNC016633)
Source: RNAcentral
CUUGAUUUCUCUCAAAAUUCAUCAAGAACAAGAAGAGGGUUUGCAAUUGGGGAUUUAAUUUCAAGAAAUUCUCUCCGUCGAUCUUCGUAAAAUGAAGAACUAAGGUAUGCUUAGUGUUCAUCCACGGAUUCCUUUCAUCCGUAGGAGUCCAAGAACCAUGCUUUAAAUACUAUAUUGUGAUUGUCUUGUUGAGAUAUGAUCAUGUACAUGUUGAUGGUUGUUGUUUAUGCUUUAAGAUAUUAAUUUAGGGUGAUUCUUAUGAAUUAUGUGUGCUUGUAGUUAAAACCCAUGAAAUUGGGUGGUUUUAGAUGACUAAAUUAUUAAGAACACCUAUGCCAUAAAGUGUGCAUGCAAGAUGUUUGAUGAAAUGCCUAGAAUAGGCAUAAUCAUGUUUUCAUGAUUUAAGAGUGCUCAAUUAACAAGUCCUUACUCCAUGUUUUAUGAUUUCACGUGACUUCCAUGUUGUGUGAAUAAAGUUUGAAUCUUUACAUGUUGUUCAUGAUACCAUGAUAUUUUGUGGAUUCAAUUGGUGGAAUUAAGUUGAAUUAUGGUGUUAUGGUGUAUAAAAUUGAUCAUUAGGCCUAUUUCCUAAACAGUGCAUGCAAGGUGUUUGUUAAAAUGCCUAAGUAAAGAAGAAUUAAGCACUUUGAUCUAUUUGUGAUCUGAGUGAUGAUUCCAUGCCAUAUCCAUGUGCUUAAGUUGACUCCCAUGCUAAAUCUAUGCCUACCAUGUGUUUGAUAAUGUGACUUAACGAAUAAAUGAUGAUCAAGUACCUAGUCUUCAUGCUCCAAGAUUUUGCCAUGUCUCUUAAGUUAUGCCAUGUCUACUUGAUCAAGAUGAUUUCUAUGCUAUUAAUGUGCUAUGAUUAUGUUGUUGGCUUGUCACGAUAUUAGAAUUGACCAUGAUGUUAGCUAUAUGAAAAGGUUAUGAAAACCACAUGAUUUAUGAAUUUCCCGUAGAUGCUAUAUUAUGGAUUGUUAAUGUUGGUCAAGUACUUUUGUAUGUCAAGUCAUGUCAGUUUCCUUCCAUCGAGUCCUGGGGGUAUUCGUACCCGAAAAAUAUAGCUGUAUGCCUAGAGCCAUGUCAUGUUUUCACGAUCCACUCAGUCAAGCCAUGUUCAGUAGACUUUAGUCAGCUAACAGAACUCAGUAGCAUUUAGUUAACAGAAUUCAGUAGUGUUUCUCUAGUCAUCGAAACUCAAUAAACUCAGUCCAUGUUCAGUUCAGUUAAACAGAAAAAUUAGUAACAGUUCAGUUAAUUCUAGUAUGAACUAGAAAGUCAGUUCAGUAUAACAGUUCAGUGUCAUUCAGUUAGGAGUAGGAUUCAGCACCGAGUGAACCCAAGGAUGGGAACUCACCUGCCAGUAGAGGGUGUGAUUCUUGGAAGCAGUCCUUGCAUUCCAGAAUUAUGUAGCCAGCAUAGGUUGAGACAUCAAUACCUAUCAUUUGAGGGUAGAUGAGGUGGCUUAACCUGUCAGAUGAGGGUUCCCACCAUUCUCAUUAGAGUACCUGCCAGAUAAGGGUCACUCAUAGCUUGUCCUUACCAGUGGCGCUGUAUUGGUACCCUUCCAAUCAGGGCAGAGAUUGGACCCCAGCUUAGCUAUUAUAGCGUAUUGGGGCAUGUCGGUUAGAUAACUACUUCCCACAAUUUUAGUAUCAGUCUCAGUAAAAAAACUCAAAUAGUUCUUCAGGAUAUUAGGACUGUCAGAUACAGUCAACUCAGAUACAAUACGGAACUCAGCUAGUUCUAUCAGAUUUAGGACUGUCAGAUACAGUCAUUCAUGCUAUCAGUUAUCCAAACUCAUGUUAUCAGAUAUAUCGGUUAUAAGAAUUCAGUUAUCAUUCAUGAUAUGUUAUCAGUAAAUAUGUGUCUUCAGUAUUCAUACUCAGUAGUCAUAUUAUCACAAGCUCAGUUUCAGGACUGUUAUAUACGGUCAAUCAAAUUAGUUCUUCAUAAUUAGAACUAUCAGAAACAGUUAUUCCUUUAUCAGUAAUACAGUAUCGGUCUCCCAGUAUUCAGUAAUACAGUAUCAGUUCCUCACUUAUUAGUGAAUUACGUAUAAAUAUCAGUAAACUCAGUCAUUUAGUAUCUCAAUAUUAGUAAACUCAGUCAUUCAGUAUCUCAGCAUCAGUAAACUCAUGAUGUCAGUAUUCAUACUCAGUAGUCAGUAUCACCACGAGUUUAGUUGCAGUUACGUAUGUAUGUAUUCUCACAUCUAUAUCAGUCAGCAUUGUUCAUGCAUAUAAAACCCUUUGCAUUUAGCCUACCUCACUCGUAUACUCAGUACAUUUAGUCGUACUGAUGCAUUUGUGCUAUGGUGUUUUAUUUGACGCCAUAGGUAUAGAGGCGCGAGUUUCAAAGCAGUAGUGGCAUUGCAGAUUUUAGCAGUCAGUGCUCCUCUUCAUUCGAGGACAAUAUUAUUAUUACUUUAUUACAGUAUUUCAGAUUAGUUUUUUAGUUCAUGGAGUUAGUUGGAGACAUGUUCCUUCAACUCCUUAUUCAGUUCAGUUAGAGGCUUUCAGACUAGAUGUCAGAUUAGAUGUUCAGACUUCAGUAUUUAUGUUUCUUUUUGGUAUUGUUAUACCAUGUUUUUUAGAUAUGUAUCAGUAUUGAACCUUAUGGCCUUAUAGUUCAUGUUUCUGCAUAUUUUAUGAGAUAUUAUGCAGUUUACACGUACAAAUAUCAGUCAUGGGUUAGCUUGUGGUCCUUCGGGAUCAUGAGCACCGUGUAGCAUUUCGUUUCAGAAAAUUGGGGCGUUACACUCCCUUAUUGAUACUCCAAUCCUUGUGGUAAACUUGGAUUGGAGGCUUGGCCAUCGAGUCAAGGGCGGAUUCCAUAUAGCCCAUGGAAUUACUGAAUUGUAGGGUGUACCAUCUAGCUCGACAGUAAAGCACAAAGCCGAGUCAUAAUUUCAAGAAAAUGUUUUGAAGCUCAUCAAAUUGUGCCCAUGUAUUUUCAAUAGUUUUAUGCUGACAUGCUUUAUGAAAUACUCUCACCUAUGUUGUAUAAAAAGAUAUUUUAUUUUUGGAUUGUUCUACGUACCAGUAUCUUUGUGUAUUGACCCACUAUAUUUCAGGUUCUGCGUAUAGUCCCAUGGUCUAUCACAUCAGUUUAACACUUGGGAUAUGACAGAAAUGGGUGAGCCAUCCAUCUUUCGGGAGGCAUUUACUUAUAUGUUGAGUCUUUUAGUACAUGGUCUAGUCGGGGGCUUUGUCCCGGCCUAGACAGUUAGGGGUCAUUUGGUAGAGCGUAUAAGAUAAUACUGAAUAGGUUGUAUUAGUAAUGCUGAGAUUAGUAGUGCAGAGAUUGGUAAUACUGGGAAUAGUAAUACUGGGAUUAUUUUUUAUGCAGUGUUUGGUUUGAUGUAUUGAAAACAAUACGUAUUGUUAUAUUUUAAAAAGAAUAUUUGUUUGUUUACAAAAAUACCCUCAACAUAUUAUAACUUUGUGUAUUUUCUUUUCAAAACUUUAUUAUUCUUUUUUUUUUAAAAUAAAAAAAUGAACAAUAUAACUAAUUAUUUACUUUGAAAUAAUUUUAAGAUUUAAUCAUUCACUUGCAAUUUUUUUUUUUUUUUGGGUUAUCUUUUC